RNAcentral lists this unclassified non-coding RNA (1448 nucleotides) under Aphidius gifuensis. RNAcentral's name for it is "nuclear distribution protein nudE-like 1-A, transcript variant X4". The record is from RNAcentral. Lineage: Eukaryota; Metazoa; Arthropoda; Insecta; Hymenoptera; Braconidae.
UUUAUUUUUUACUUUUUUUUUUUUUCAUUCAUUCGUGUGUAAUCUCUUGCUCUCUUCUUCUUGUCAGACACAAUUUGGCAUUUUGGCAAGCACCAAUUUUAUAUUUUAACACAAAAAAUAAUUGUGACGAGUGUGGAAUAACAUCAACAGUAUGCAAGAUUUUUACUGAGGACAUUGACAAUAAUCUCAUCGUCAUUUUGAAGUUGUAAAAAAUUUAUCUGGCAGAAAUAAAAAACAACAAGAAAAAUAUAAUAAUCAACAUAAUGGAGCUUGAUACUCCUGAAUUUACUUCAAAGGAUGAUGAGAUCCAAUAUUGGAUGGAAGUUGCCCAACAAAUGUAUCAAAGAAAAGAAGAGGUUGAACAUGAGCUGGAAGAGUUCCAAGAAAAUUCACAAAUGCUGGAAAAAGAAUUGGAAACAUCAUUAGAACAAUCAGAAAAAACAAAUCGUGAAUUACGUCAACGUAAUUCAAGACUUUCCACUGAAAUGGAACAAUUAAGAUCAAGAUUAAAUCAACAAACAUCUGAUUGUUCUGUAUUUCAAUCAAGAGCAACUGAAUUAGAAUCUCAACAUGAUCAACUUGUCAAGUAUAUACGUGAAUUAGAACAAAAAAAUGAUGAUCUUGAACGUGCACAAAGGAUAAAUACAGCAACUGAAGAGGCUAUUGAAGCAAAAUUUAAUUCAGCAAUUGAAAAAAAUGCAUUAUUAGAAUCAGAACUUGAUGAAAAAGAAAGUCUCAAAGUUAUUGUACAAAGAUUAAUGGAUGAAAACAGAGAUCUUAAACAAGAAAUAAAUAUAUUAAAACGAUAUGUACCAGAUAAUGACAAAUCAGCAGAUAAAGUACGAAGUCUUGUUGAUAGUAAUAAAUUACAAGUUGAAUUGGAAACAAAUGUUAAUUCAAUAAUAACACCAAUGACUAAUCAAAAUAUAACAAAUGGUCAACAACAACAACAAGUUAAAAUUGGUAAUGGAGUCGUUGGAGGUGUCAACAACAACAAUAACAACAACAACAACAUCAACAAUAAUAAUAAUAACAACAUGAAUAUGCCAAUGGCACCAUCAACAAGGAUACUUGCAAUGAACAUGAUUGGUGAUCUCAUGAGAAAAGUUGGGCUCGACAGGUGGGUCUGCAUGGAUUGUGGAAAAAUCAAAUGUUGUUGUCCUGGUGGUAAAAAAACUACAUCACUUGAAAUGACAGCUAAACACUCAUCGAGACAAUGUAUUGGUCGAGCAACAAAAUUGACAAAGUGCUGACAUAAAUAAAUAAUUAAAUAUGUACAUAAAUUGACAAAUACCAAGCACAUAUUAAAAUAAUUAUUACACAAGCCAAGAACGCGAAAUCAAGGCCCUGGAAAAUAAACUCAACACUUGUCGAAAUGCAUCUCGUGAGGAUCAAUCAAUGAGAGACUUGUACAGGUAAUAAAAUAAAAAAUUAAUUUAGUUUAAUAA